Molecule: ribosomal RNA, 530 nt
Filed under: Campion rubellus
Lineage: Eukaryota; Metazoa; Arthropoda; Insecta; Neuroptera; Mantispidae
Description: partial 16S ribosomal RNA
Rfam family: Bacterial large subunit ribosomal RNA
Source: RNAcentral
CAAAAACAUGUCUUUUUGAUAAUAAUAUAAAGUCUAACCUGCCCACUGAUUUAUUGAAGGGCCGCGGUAUAUUGACUGUGCAAAGGUAGCAUAAUCAUUUGUCUUUUAAUUGAAGGCUAGAAUGAAUGGUUGAAUGAAGUAUUAACUGUCUCAUAUUAAAAAAUUAAGAAUUUAAUUUUUAAGUCAAAAAGCUUAAAUAAAUUUAAAGGACGAGAAGACCCUAUAGAUCUUUAUAUUUAUUUAAAUAAUAAUUAUUAGUUAGUAAUAUAUUAUUUUUUAUAAAAAUAUUUUAUUGGGGUGAUAGAAAAAUUAAAUAAACUUUAUUUGUUAUUAAACAUUGAUAUAUGAUUAAUUGAUCCUUUUUUAAAGAUUAUAAAUUUAAGUUACCUUAGGGAUAACAGCGUAAUUUUUUUAGAGAGUUCAUAUCGAUAAAAAAGAUUGCGACCUCGAUGUUGAAUUAAAGAUUAUUUUUGAAUGCAGAAGUUUGAAGUUUAGGUCUGUUCGACCUUUGAAUCUUUACAUGAUCUGAG